Molecule: long non-coding RNA, 759 nt
Organism: Scylla paramamosain (green mud crab)
Lineage: Eukaryota; Metazoa; Arthropoda; Malacostraca; Decapoda; Portunidae
Exons: 4
Source: RefSeq, a predicted model, not a curated record
AAGCCUCUGUGCAGUGUGGGUGUACGUGCCUUGCUCCAAAAAGGAAAAGAAAAUUAAAGAAAGUGAGAAAAAAGAAAGAGAGAAAGAAAGAAAAAGAAAAAGAAACUAUUUAUUUAUUUGUUUAUUUAUUUAAUUAGUGAAAAUCUUAAGAAAUUUGAAAAUAAAGCUGUGUGAGAAAACGGGCGAGCGAGACAAAAAGUAAACAAAGCACCAAAGAAAACGGAAACAUUUCAAGGCAGACUAUACCAAAGAUGAAGAAACGCAGAAAAAACGGAAUUGACUCAUGAAUAAAUGGUGUACGGUCUGCACUGACGUUAUAGACAAAUAGAACAACGUUUAAUCUAUUAUGUCAUGCAGUGAGAGGAGAGAGAGAGCGAGGGAGAGAGAAGAAAUUGAGAAAAGAACAGGCAGAAUGGUGCAGCCACGCUUGUGUGGGAGGUUAAGCCCCGAUCCCUACCCCGGCAGCCAAUCAGGGCAGGGCAGGGUGAUUUCUUAGCCAAUCAGGUGCGAGAUGGAUCGUGACGUCACAAGAUGGGCGUUCCUUUAGUUUCUCUCGUUUACACGGAACAAAUGUUUCAUUUGUGUUUUUAUUUUUUACGUGUGUGAAUUAGUGAAGGAAAAUAAUUAUUAGUGAAAAAAAUAAUUAUAUAUUGAAGUAAUUGUUUUUUUAAGUAAUGAAGUGAAGAAAAAUUUAAAGAAAGUGAAAAAAAAAUUAAAUAUUGUGCAGUUGAAAAAUAAAUGUGAAUUAUUAAAUAUGUA